CAGUCGCCGCGGUAAUACGAAGGGGGCUAGCGUUGUUCGGAAUUACUGGGCGUAAAGCGCACGUAGGCGGAUAUUUAAGUCAGGGGUGAAAUCCCGCAGCUCAACUGCGGAACUGCCUUUGAUACUGGGUAUCUUGAGUAUGGAAGAGGUUAGUGGAAUUGCGAGUGUAGAGGUGAAAUUCGUAGAUAUUCGCAGGAACACCAGUGGCGAAGGCGGCUAACUGGUCCAUAACUGACGCUGAGGUGCGAAAGCGUGGGGAGCAAACAGGAUUAGAGACCCGCGUAGUCCCUGUCUCUUAUAC
This 301-nucleotide ribosomal RNA is filed under the name uncultured bacterium. Its description in RNAcentral is "partial 16S ribosomal RNA". It matches the Rfam family "Bacterial small subunit ribosomal RNA", at positions 509 to 807 of the family's 1533-position model. The record is from RNAcentral.